CCCUAUGGGGUGCAGCAGGCGGUCGUCUAAGUCAGAGGUGAAAAUUCUACGGCUCAACCGAGAACCUGCCUCUGAUACUGGACGACUUGAGUGCGGAAGGGGAGCGUGGAAUUCCUGGUGUAGCGGUGAAAUGCGUAGAUAUCAGGAGGAACACCGGUGGCGAAGGCGACGCUCUGGUCCGUAACUGACGCUCAUGCACGAAAGCCAGGGGAGCGAACG
This 219-nucleotide ribosomal RNA is filed under the name uncultured prokaryote. RNAcentral's name for it is "partial 16S ribosomal RNA". It matches the Rfam family "Bacterial small subunit ribosomal RNA", at positions 561 to 774 of the family's 1533-position model. The record is from RNAcentral.